This is a long non-coding RNA of Erpetoichthys calabaricus (reedfish), 197 nucleotides long. RefSeq lists it as uncharacterized. The record is from RefSeq and is a predicted model, not a curated record. The transcript is spliced from 2 exons. Lineage: Eukaryota; Metazoa; Chordata; Cladistia; Polypteriformes; Polypteridae.
GCUGUUGAAAAUAAACCACAGUAGCAAUGACAGAACGAUUAGUGCUAUUUGUGUUUCAAUUCCUGAGGUUGUUUAUCACACUCAUUUUAAAGUUAAAAAAAUACUGUUACAAUAGAUUGCCAAUUCUUAUUCUCUGUACAUGAUGUUGGAAAAUGUCAGUUUCAAGUGUUAAACAGCAGCAGUAUAACCAAUGUUUA